GCUAACACAUGCAAGUCGAACGGUAACACAGAGGAGCUUUGCGGCUUUGCUGGCGAACCGCGGGAGGGUGAGAUAUGAUUGGGAACAUGCCUUGAGGAGGGGGACAACAGAUGGAAACGACUGCUAAUACCGCAUAAUGUCUACGGACCAAAGGGCGCUUCAGCUCUCGCCUUUAGAUUGGCCCAAGUGGGAUUAGCUAGUUGGUGAGGUAAUGGCUCACCAAGGCGACGAUCCCUAGCUGGUUUGAGAGGAUGAUCAGCCACACUGGGACUGAGACACGGCCCAGACUCCUACGGGAGGCAGCAGUGGGGAAUAUUGCACAAUGGGCGCAAGCCUGAUGCAGCCAUGCCGCGUGUGUGAAGAACGCCUUCUGAUUUGUGACAGCACUUUCAGUCAGGAGCUAACGGUUAG
Molecule: ribosomal RNA, 411 nt
Filed under: bacterium AV-Te-25
Lineage: Bacteria
Description: bacterial SSU rRNA
Rfam family: Bacterial small subunit ribosomal RNA
Source: RNAcentral